RNAcentral lists this ribosomal RNA (676 nucleotides) under Bacillus subtilis. RNAcentral's name for it is "partial 16S ribosomal RNA". It matches the Rfam family "Bacterial small subunit ribosomal RNA", at positions 8 to 535 of the family's 1533-position model. The record is from RNAcentral. Lineage: Bacteria; Bacillati; Bacillota; Bacilli; Caryophanales; Bacillaceae.
AGAGUUUGAUCCUGGCUCAGGAUGAACGCUGGCGGCGUGCCUAAUACAUGCAAGUCGAGCGAACUGAUUAGAAGCUUGCUUCUAUGACGUUAGCGGCGGACGGGUGAGUAACACGUGGGCAACCUGCCUGUAAGACUGGGAUAACUUCGGGAAACCGAAGCUAAUACCGGAUAGGAUCUUCUCCUUCAUGGGAGAUGAUUGAAAGAUGGUUUCGGCUAUCACUUACAGAUGGGCCCGCGGUGCAUUAGCUAGUUGGUGAGGUAACGGCUCACCAAGGCAACGAUGCAUANCCGACCUGAGANGGUGAUCGGCCACACUGGGACUGAGACACGGCCCANACUCCUACGGGAGGCGGCAGUAGGGAAUCUUCCGCAAUGGACGAAAGUCUUACGGAGCNACGCCGCGUGAGUGAUUAANGGCUUUCCGGGUCCUAAAAACUCCUGUUUGGUUUAGGGGAAAGAAACAAAGUUACCNAGAAGUUAAACUGGCUUUGUUACCCUUUGAACCGGUACCCCUAAACCCAANAAAAAGNCCACCNGGCUAAACUUACCNUUGCCCCAGCCAAGCCCGCCGGGUNAAAUUAACNUUAAGGUNNGGCNAAGCCCCUUUUAUUUCCCGGGAAAAUUUUAUUUNGGGGNCGUUUAAAAGCCGNCCNCCNCCAAGGGCGGGGUUUUNC